AGGAUGUUAAGUUAAGUUAAACUAUGGCACUUCAAAUGCUAAUAUGAACAUGAUGUUCACAUCUUG
RNAcentral lists this transfer RNA (66 nucleotides) under Neoteredo reynei. Its description in RNAcentral is "tRNA-Trp". Lineage: Eukaryota; Metazoa; Mollusca; Bivalvia; Myida; Teredinidae. The record is from RNAcentral.